RNAcentral lists this ribosomal RNA (314 nucleotides) under Pseudomonas sp. NAD-A17. Its description in RNAcentral is "bacterial SSU rRNA". It matches the Rfam family "Bacterial small subunit ribosomal RNA", at positions 50 to 368 of the family's 1533-position model. Lineage: Bacteria; Pseudomonadati; Pseudomonadota; Gammaproteobacteria; Pseudomonadales; Pseudomonadaceae. The record is from RNAcentral.
GCUCCAUGCAGUCGAGCGGAUGAGUGGAGCUUGCUCCUGAUUCAGCGGCGGACGGGUGCGUAAUGCCUAGGAAUCUGCCUGGUAGUGGGGGAUAACGUUUCGAAAGGAACGCUAAUACCGCAUACGUCCUACGGGAGAAAGUGGGGGAUCUUCGGACCUCACGCUAUCAGAUGAGCCUAGGUCGGAUUAGCUAGUUGGUGGGGUAAUGGCCCACCAAGGCGACGAUCCGUAACUGGUCUGAGAGGAUGAUCAGUCACACUGGAACUGAGACACCGUCCAGACUCCUACGGGAGGCGGCGGUGGGGAAUAUUGGA